UACAGAGGGGGCAAGCGUUAUUCGGAAUUAUUGGGCGUAAAGGGCGCGUAGGCGGCUUUGCAAGUGACGGGUGAAAUCCCUCGGCUUAACCGAGGAACUGCCUGUCAGACUGCAUGGCUUGAGACCGGGAGAGGUGAGUGGAAUUCCCAGUGUAGCGGUGAAAUGCGUAGAUAUUCGGAAGAACACCAGUGGCGAAGGCGACUUACUGGACACAUAUUGACGCUGAGGUGCGAAAGCGUGGGGAGCAAACAGG
This 253-nucleotide ribosomal RNA is filed under the name uncultured bacterium. Its description in RNAcentral is "partial 16S ribosomal RNA". It matches the Rfam family "Bacterial small subunit ribosomal RNA", at positions 524 to 776 of the family's 1533-position model. The record is from RNAcentral.